Molecule: unclassified non-coding RNA, 758 nt
Filed under: Gigantopelta aegis
Lineage: Eukaryota; Metazoa; Mollusca; Gastropoda; Neomphalida; Peltospiridae
Description: conodipine-P3-like, transcript variant X1
Source: RNAcentral
AUCGAUAUAAAACCUGCUUUUUCACUCCAUUUGAUAAAAACGUGAUCUAAGUGUGUUACAGAAUGUUGAAGGAAGUGUUUCUAGUAUCUACCUUGGUGUUGGUUGUGCUCGCGUCUUGUAUAAACGCCGAUUGGUGCUCAAGUCGAGUGAACGGCUGCAACAUUCCGGGUUAUAUGCCUCCCGCCUACAAAGGACUCUUCACGGGUGCAUGCAACCACCAUGACGUCUGCUACUUUUGUGGUCGGAAUAGGAAUGUAGGUCGAAGCACGUGCGACUAUUGGUUUUACUACAACAUGUGGAGACGAUGCAGGUGGUGGCACUUUGGGUGUAGAUACGCAGCCUACCUUUACUACUACGCGGCGAGAAUCGGCGGAAGCAGUCACUACAACAGCGUGUCUCCAUCUUGGUGCUCGCAAAGUUGGGUACCCGGAUGUAUGUAUUAAACAGGAAGUAUCAUCUCAGUCACUUAACAUAAAAAAAAAGGAGGAAAAUAUGAAUAACAGAUUCUGAAAAUGGACAGAUCCGAUAUUUUGAAAACUAGAAAAGCGUGUUAAAAGAAACAUUAUUGAAGACCGAAGAAACAUAUGUACAAUAUUAGCGGAAUCGGAACUUCAAGAUAUGUAGAUAUUAGUUUCGUGUGUGUAUUUAUGUUUUGUGUUUGAUAUAAUGAACUCAUUGUACAUUUUUAAAAACAUUUGAUAGAAUUUGUAUAAGUUUAACAUCAUUCUUUUUUAAUCACAUUAAAAUAGUGCAUUGUA